GAUGAACGCUGGCGGCGUGCCUAAUACAUGCAAGUCGAGCGGACGGACGAGAAGCUUGCGGCGCGGAUGUUAGCGGCGGAGGGGAGAGUAACACGUGUAUAACGUACCUAUCUUACGGGGAUAACUUCGGAAAACGGGAUCUAAUACGGGAGAAGAUUUUGAAGCGCAGGGGGCAAAAGUGAGAGACGGUCUUGCGGUCACGUAUAGAGGGAUCCCCGCUGCAUUAGCUAGUUGGUAAGGUAACGGCUUACCAAGGCAACGAUGCAUAGCCGACCUGAGAGGGUGAUCGCCCACAUUGGAGCUGAGCCACCGUCAUGACUCCUGCGGGAGGCCGCAGUCUGGAAUCGUCGGCAGCAGUCGAGAACCUUGCGGAGCAGCCGCGCGCGAGUGAUGACGGUGCUCCGAUCGUGAUGCUCUGUUAUUGGUGGUGAACCUAUGUCUCCUUAGCCGUGCAGUUAUUGACGGUACUUAGUCAGAAAGCCCCGGCUAACUACGUG
Molecule: ribosomal RNA, 497 nt
Filed under: uncultured bacterium
Lineage: Bacteria
Description: partial 16S ribosomal RNA
Rfam family: Bacterial small subunit ribosomal RNA
Source: RNAcentral